RNAcentral lists this long non-coding RNA (320 nucleotides) under Nicotiana benthamiana. RNAcentral's name for it is "long non-coding RNA (NBEN_LNC004368)". The record is from RNAcentral. Lineage: Eukaryota; Viridiplantae; Streptophyta; Magnoliopsida; Solanales; Solanaceae.
UCAACCCUGCUGAUAUUCAAGUUGAAUAUUUACGCCAUCCAAUUCUCAAAGUUGAAGUCUUCAAGUUUGUCGGUCUUCAAGUUUCAGUCUUCAAAAUCGUCGGUCUUAUAGUUGAAUUAUUAAGCUCUCUGAAUCUUCGAGUUGAAGUCUACAAAGUCCACAAAAUCUUCAAAGUUUUCCAAGUGUUCAAGUCGAUGCCGUCUUCAAGUUGAAGCUUUAUCACUUUCCAAUCUUAAGGUGGACAUAUAUCCCUUUGCACCUUAAGUUGGACUCUUGGCGGGUUUGUCCUUAAAAGGAACUAUAAUUUUCCAAUCUUAAGG